Molecule: ribosomal RNA, 253 nt
Filed under: uncultured bacterium
Lineage: Bacteria
Description: partial 16S ribosomal RNA
Rfam family: Bacterial small subunit ribosomal RNA
Source: RNAcentral
UACGUAGGGGGCAAGCGUUGUCCGGAUUUAUUGGGCGUAAAGAGCGUGUAGGCGGCUAGAUAGGUCCGUUGUGAAAACUCGAGGCUCAACCUCGAGACGUCGAUGGAAACCAUCUGGCUAGAGUCCGGAAGAGGAGAGUGGAAUUCCUGGUGUAGCGGUGAAAUGCGCAGAUAUCAGGAGGAACACCAAUGGCGAAGGCAGCUCACUGGGACGGUAUUGACGCUGAGACGCGAAAGCGUGGGGAGCAAACAGG